CCUAACGUGGAGAGGGGGCGUGGUCUUCAUCCUGCGGACGGCAGACUCCCUGCCCGGGUUUGGCUUUGCUGUCCAGGCCCCUCCGGUCCCCGGUCCGAGCCACCUGCAAAUGAAAUCACCAG
Molecule: microRNA precursor, 122 nt
Filed under: Pteropus vampyrus (large flying fox)
Lineage: Eukaryota; Metazoa; Chordata; Mammalia; Chiroptera; Pteropodidae
Description: miRNA (ENSPVAG00000027520.1)
Source: RNAcentral